CAGCAGCCGCCGCGGGAAUACAGAGGGUGCGAGCGUUAAUCGGAUUUACUGGGCGUAAAGCGUGCGUAGGCGGCUUUUUAAGUCGGAUGUGAAAUCCCUGAGCUUAACUUAGGAAUUGCAUUCGAUACUGGGAAGCUAGAGUAUGGGAGAGGAUGGUAGAAUUCCAGGUGUAGCGGUGAAAUGCGUAGAGAUCUGGAGGAAUACCGAUGGCGAAGGCAGCCAUCUGGCCUAAUACUGACGCUAAGGUACGAAAGCAUGGGGAGCAAACAGGAUUAGAUACCCCCGUAGUCCCUGUCUCUUAUAC
Molecule: ribosomal RNA, 304 nt
Filed under: uncultured bacterium
Lineage: Bacteria
Description: partial 16S ribosomal RNA
Rfam family: Bacterial small subunit ribosomal RNA
Source: RNAcentral